This 484-nucleotide ribosomal RNA is filed under the name uncultured bacterium. RNAcentral describes it as "partial 16S ribosomal RNA". It matches the Rfam family "Bacterial small subunit ribosomal RNA", at positions 28 to 507 of the family's 1533-position model. The record is from RNAcentral.
GAUGAACGCUGGCGGCAUGCCUAACACAUGCAAGUCGAGCGGACGGACGGAGCUUGUGCCUGGCUUCUGCGAACGGCGGGUGAGUAAUUCCUACGAGGCUGCCUUGUCGUUGUGGAUAACAUCCCGUAACGUGACCUGAUAUCGUAUACGUCCUGAGUUAGAAAGUGAGGGAUCUUCGGUGCUAGAGCUAUUUGCUGUCCCUUAGCGGGAUUUGCUAGUUGCUGGGGUAAAGGGCUACCAAGGCGACGAUCCGUAACAGGUCUGAGAGGAUGACCAGUCACACUGGAACUGAGACACGGUCCAGACUCCUACGGGAGGCAGCAGUAGGGAAUAUUGGGCAAUGGGCGAAAGCCUGAUCAAGCCAGGCCGCGUGUGUGAAGAAGGUCUUCGGAUUGUAAAGCACUUUUAGUUGGGAGGAAGGGCAGUAAGAUAAUACCUUGCUGUUUUGACGGUACCAACAGAAUAAGCAACGGCUAACUUCGUG